RNA transcript from Salvia miltiorrhiza (redroot sage), 1751 nucleotides. It is a transcript of the gene named serine/threonine-protein kinase rio2-like, with no coding region annotated. The transcript has 13 exons. NCBI's taxonomy places the organism in Eukaryota, Viridiplantae, Streptophyta, Magnoliopsida, Lamiales, Lamiaceae. The record is from RefSeq and is a predicted model, not a curated record.
AGAACCCAGCCAUGAGCUCCGCCGCGCUAAACCGGCGGUUGAGAUAAAAAUCUCUGCAGCCUUCAAUUUCUCAUCAUUCAUCGUGAUUUUGAAGAUUAAUUCGUCGAUUCUCUGCGUAGCUGAGUGCAGGAAACAAUGAAGUUAGAUGUGAAUGCUCUGAGGUAUCUGUCGAAGGAUGACUUCAGGGUUCUUACCGCCGUCGAGAUGGGAAUGCGCAAUCAUGAAAUUGUACCGGCGGAGUUGAUCGGCAGAAUCGCAUCAUUGAAGCAUGGCGGCACGUAUAAAGUAUUGAAGAAUUUGCUCAAGCACAAGCUGGUGCAUCAUGACUCUUCCAAGUAUGAUGGUUUCCGGCUAACAUACUUGGGCUACGACUUUCUUGCGAUCAAGACAUUGGUGAACCGUGGAGUUUUUGCUUCUGUUGGUCGCCAGAUUGGUGUGGGGAAGGAAUCUGAUAUAUUUGAGGUUGCUACUGAAGAUGGCACAGUUCUUGCUAUGAAGUUACACAGGCUUGGUAGGGUUUCUUUUAGAGCAGUCAAGUCUAAACGUGAUUAUUUGAGGCAUCGCAGAAGCUUUAACUGGCUAUACUUGUCACGGCUUGCUGCACUCAAAGAAUUUGCCUUUAUGAAGGCUUUGGAAGAACAUGGUUUUCCUGUUCCAAAUGCAGUGGAUUGCAAUCGGCAUUGUGUGAUCAUGUCACUCGUCCAAGGAUACCCGCUUGUUCAGGUAAAGGAGUUGCCAAACCCCGACACAAUCUUUGAAACAAUCAUUGGUCUUGUUGUUCGCCUGGCAGAGCACGGGCUCAUCCACUGUGAUUUCAAUGAAUUUAAUAUCAUGAUUGAUGAUGAUGAGAAGGUGACAAUGAUUGAUUUUCCACAAAUGGUUUCGGUUUCUCAUCGAAAUGCACAGAUGUACUUUGACCGUGAUGUUGAGUGCAUCUUCAAGUUUUUCCGGAAAAGGUUUCACCUCUCUUUUGAUGAAAAAGAAGCCGAAUGUGAUGAUUCAGAUGUAGAAUUAGAUGGAAGUUGUCGGCCACAGUUUUCAGAUAUAAAUAAAGUUUCUGGUGUCCUGGACAAGGAGCUUGAAGCUAGUGGUUUCACUAGGAAGGAUCAAGAGGAUAUGGAGAAGUUUGUUGAUGGGGAUGUAGAGGAAGAUCUGGGAUCUGAUUCUGGAGAAGAUGAGGACGAAGAUGAAGAUGAUACUGCUGGUCAGAUAAAUGAUGCAACCCUAAAUGGUCUCGAGUCCUUGAGCUUGACUAGAGAGGAAGAAGGCGAUUCGGAUAACAAUCAAAAUAAUAUGCAUCAACAUACUUGUAACGAAGCUAGCCAAAGUGAAGAUAGACAGGUUGAGCACGAUGAUAAUUCUGACGACCCUGAACUUGAAAAGCGUUUGAGCAAGCAACGACAACGGGCCAUCCAAGCUGCUCGUGGGAGGCGGAAAGCUAUAACCUCUAGAAACAGUUACAAGGACAAAGGUGGGAGGUCCUCUCAAAAUUCAAAGAUUCAAAAACAAUUAGGUAGCUGGUGAGAAGGGCUAUCGCGCCCUGCCCUGCCCUGCUGUGACACCAUUCAAAGGCCAGCGCCGAGCAGCUCGGAUUCGUGAAGAUUGUAAGGUUUUAACGAGGCUUGGGCCAAGUCGCCUUACCAACGAGCCAUGGUGUUAGCCUGUUAGAUCUAUCUUGUAACUUAUAAAUGGAGAUUUCAUGUUCAAAUAUCACAAGCCGUUCAUUAUUUACCUUUUCAAAAUAGAAACUC